This 44-nucleotide transfer RNA is filed under the name Achetaria erecta. Its description in RNAcentral is "partial tRNA-Leu". The record is from RNAcentral. Lineage: Eukaryota; Viridiplantae; Streptophyta; Magnoliopsida; Lamiales; Plantaginaceae.
UCCGUCGACUUUAAAAAUCGUGAGGGUUCAAGUCCCUCUAUCCC